Molecule: ribosomal RNA, 253 nt
Filed under: uncultured bacterium
Lineage: Bacteria
Description: partial 16S ribosomal RNA
Rfam family: Bacterial small subunit ribosomal RNA
Source: RNAcentral
UACGAGGGGGGCAAGCGUUGUUCGGAGUUACUGGGCGUAAAGGGUGCGUAGGCGGCUUCUUAAGUCUGGUGUGAAAUCUCCCGGCUCAACUGGGAGGGUGCGCCGGAUACUGAGGGGCUAGAGUGUGGGAGAGGAAAGUGGAAUUCCUGGUGUAGCGGUGAAAUGCGUAGAUAUCAAGAGGAAUACCGGAGGCGAAGGCGGAUAGCUGGGCCAACAUUGACGCUGAGACCCGAAAGCGUGGGGAUCAAACAGG